Molecule: unclassified non-coding RNA, 220 nt
Filed under: Hevea brasiliensis (rubber tree)
Lineage: Eukaryota; Viridiplantae; Streptophyta; Magnoliopsida; Malpighiales; Euphorbiaceae
Source: RNAcentral
UGGUGAUUUGACAAGUAGGCUUGGGGCAGAUUGUCAACAAGUGUCUCGUGUAAUUGGAAAUGACCUAAAUCUAAUUUUACGCAAUGUUCUCCAGGGAACAGGUGCUUUAGUUUAUUUGUUGAUUUUGUCCUGGCCACUAGGAUUGUGCACAUUCGCUAUCUGCUGUGCACUAUUCACGAUAAUGCUAUUAUAUGGCCAAUACCAGAAGAAAGCAGCUAAG